GAUGAACGCUAGCUACAGGCUUAACACAUGCAAGUCGAGGGGCAGCAUGGUCUUAGCUUGCUAAGGCCGAUGGCGACCGGCGCACGGGUGAGUAACACGUAUCCAACCUGCCGUCUACUCUUGGACAGCCUUCUGAAAGGAAGAUUAAUACAAGAUGGCAUCAUGAGUCCGCAUGUUCACAUGAUUAAAGGUAUUCCGGUAGACGAUGGGGAUGCGUUCCAUUAGAUAGUAGGCGGGGUAACGGCCCACCUAGUCUUCGAUGGAUAGGGGUUCUGAGAGGAAGGUCCCCCACAUUGGAACUGAGACACGGUCCAAACUCCUACGGGAGGCAGCAGUGAGGAAUAUUGGUCAAUGGGCGAGAGCCUGAACCAGCCAAGUAGCGUGAAGGAUGACUGCCCUAUGGGUUGUAAACUUCUUUUAUAAAGGAAUAAAGUCGGGUAUGGAUACCCGUUUGCAUGUACUUUAUGAAUAAGGAUCGGCUAACUCCGUGCCAGCAGCCGCGGUAAUACGGAGGAUCCGAGCGUUUAUCCGGAUUUAUUGGGUUUAAAGGGAGCGUAGAUGGAUGUUUAAGUCAGUUGUGAAAGUUU
This 587-nucleotide ribosomal RNA is filed under the name uncultured bacterium. Its description in RNAcentral is "bacterial SSU rRNA". It matches the Rfam family "Bacterial small subunit ribosomal RNA", at positions 28 to 603 of the family's 1533-position model. The record is from RNAcentral.